UAACAUGUCACCUUUGUUAUUUACCUAUGUUAGCCUAUCAAGCAUCACAAAGGAAUAUUUUUUAUUCCUUUUCCUUUCCCAACCUCUCAUUUAAAAUAUCUAUUUUUCCUCUCAUCCUCACCACACAUUCAAAUUGCCAUCACUCUUUCUCUCUCCGCGUGGGCCCCACUCCCACCAAUCAGAUUUAAUUAUUUUCCUCAUUCUCCUCACUCUCUCACCAUUCACGCUCUCUCUCUUCUCACUCACUCGACAUCUCUCUUUCUCCUUUUCUCUCCACUCAUUUCUUCUCCUAUCUUCUGGUGCAGCAACAAAAAUACCACCACCAUCAUUAUACUUCUUCUUCCUCCUCCACACAAGAGCCACCACCACGAGCCUUCUCCCCUUCAUGCAACAACCGCCACCGUUCAUGUCCUGGUCCCUAUAUGAAGAACGCGCGGUCACCACCAUCACCGCGUGCCAAUCGCCACCACCGUGGCCCUCUGUACCGUCGACCAGAACCGCGAACACCACCGCGUCUUCAUCACCAUCAAACGGCCAUGAACGCGCCGCCAAAGCCACCACCAUGAAACCCUAAAAACCGCCACCUUCAAGCUUCGAUCUCCGGCGAACCCCCUUAGCUUUUGGAGAAACGAAUACUACCACUGAACUCCCCUCAUCAUCAGCUUCAAAACCCCCAAAGAAAUUUCCGAUUCCAACAACCUUCGCAGGAAACCGCCGCCUCCGGCGUCUUCUCCGACGAGCUUUGUUCUAAGAAAGGAUGUCAAUUUCUCGAAGCUCUUGAUCUCCUCUUCCUGAAUCCAAGGCUCAAUCAUCAUUAAGAGAGCUCGCUGGUCAUCAGAGGAAGAAUUGAAGUUCAGCCCCACAGCUUGACACUUGAGGUAGUGGGAGAAAGACUGGAACACUUUAUGCUCCUCUAAAUAAUAUAUCUCUUGUCUUUUGCUGUUCAUGUACCUUGUAAAAAUUAAUGAAGGAAUGUAGAAUAGUGUAUGUGUGUGAUGUGAGUGAUAGUGUUUGAUUGUUGAUUUUAGAGGGCAUUAGGGUUCAGCCCUUACUGUGCUUGAAAAGCUUUUGCGAAAACUCACAUAAAACUGUUGUUGUUUUCGAAAGUAGUAGCUGCUGUUCUGUUAAAAUCGUAUGUUUCGGUCAAGAUUUUCAAA
Molecule: long non-coding RNA, 1157 nt
Organism: Lotus japonicus
Lineage: Eukaryota; Viridiplantae; Streptophyta; Magnoliopsida; Fabales; Fabaceae
Exons: 2
Source: RefSeq, a predicted model, not a curated record